This 606-nucleotide long non-coding RNA is filed under the name Amborella trichopoda. RNAcentral describes it as "long non-coding RNA (ATRI_LNC005399)". Lineage: Eukaryota; Viridiplantae; Streptophyta; Magnoliopsida; Amborellales; Amborellaceae. The record is from RNAcentral.
GAAAUUCCCCUUUCUUAUCUCUCUCAAACUGCAUUAUAAUCUUCUCAAUGGUCUCCAUCUACUCAUCGAAAUCUCUUCAAAUUUUUGGUUUUUCUUAUAAAAUUAUAUGGAGACUAAAUGGAAACAGAAAAUAUGAAUCCAAUGAUAUAAAAAAACCCACAAACAAAACACAACAGGUGAGUCAUUCACAUCAAAGGCUAACGUAACUAAAAAGUGGCAUGGAGAAAUUGAGGAAUAAGAGAAAACUAAGUAAAUCAAAAGAUCUAAUUUUUUUGUGACAUUGAACAAGAAAAUAAAAACUUAGCUAGAGAAAAAUUGCAAGAAGAAUGUAAAUCCACAUAGAAGGAGGAAAGAAUCCAAAGAAGAGAGAGGGAUAGAGCGCCUGGAAAGAGCUAUCAUCAUGAGGGAGAGAGAUAUCAAUUAAUCUCUCUUUAGUUGCAGAGAGAUCAGCGUGAGGAAAAUAGCGCCUAGAGAGAGAAAACCGUAGUUGCAGAGAGAGGGAGAUAGCUCCCAGAGAGAGAAAAUCAGGUAAAAUGCUCAAAGAGAAAUUGGAGAAGACUACAGUAGGCUCGUGUGAAGCAGAUAGAGAGAGAAAACCAAGUAAAA